RNAcentral lists this long non-coding RNA (444 nucleotides) under Homo sapiens (human). Its description in RNAcentral is "novel transcript". The record is from RNAcentral. Lineage: Eukaryota; Metazoa; Chordata; Mammalia; Primates; Hominidae.
ACAUUGAUGGAUAGCCACGUGGAUCCAGAAAAUAAAGACUUCUACUCUGCAUUUGACUAAAGCAGAAGAUAUGCAAGGAAGCUCAGUCUCUCAAUUGAGUGGAUUCUGAAAUUUAUCCUGUUGUCUUCAGCUACUAAGGCUAAUUUGCAAAUCACACUGUGCACGGACGGCGUCUCGCUGUGUUACCCAGGCUGGAGUGCAGUGGCGCGAUCUCAGCUCACUGCAACCUCACCUCCCGGGUUCAAGUGAUUCCUCUGCCUCAGCCUCCGGAGUAGCUGGGACUACAGGUGCGUGCCACCAUGCCUGGCUCAUUUUUUUUGUAUUUUAGUAGAGACGGGGUUUCACCAUGUUGGCCAGGAUGGCCUCGAUUUCCUGACCUUGUGAUCCGCCCGCCUCGGCCUUCCAAAGCGCUGGGAUUACAGUCAUGAGCCACCGUGCCCGGCC